Molecule: ribosomal RNA, 194 nt
Filed under: uncultured Lactobacillus sp.
Lineage: Bacteria; Bacillati; Bacillota; Bacilli; Lactobacillales; Lactobacillaceae
Description: partial 16S ribosomal RNA
Rfam family: Bacterial small subunit ribosomal RNA
Source: RNAcentral
CUACGGGAGGCAGCAGUGGGGAAUAUUGCGCAAUGGGGGAAACCCUGACGCAGCAACGCCGCGAGAGUGAAGAAGGUUUUCGGAUCGUAAAGCUCUGUUGUUGGUGAAGAAAGAUAGUGAGAGUAACUGCUCAUUAUUUGCCGGUAAUCAACCAGAAAGUCACGGCUAACUACGUGCCAGCAGCCGCGGUAAUA